This 279-nucleotide ribosomal RNA is filed under the name uncultured bacterium. RNAcentral describes it as "partial 16S ribosomal RNA". It matches the Rfam family "Bacterial small subunit ribosomal RNA", at positions 506 to 784 of the family's 1533-position model. The record is from RNAcentral.
UGCCAGCAGCCGCGGUAAUACGGAGGGUGCAAGCGUUAAUCGGAAUUACUGGGCGUAAAGCGCACGUAGGCGGUUUGGUAAGUCAGAUGUGAAAGCCCCGGGCUCAACCUGGGAACUGCAUUUGAUACUGCUGAACUAGAGUAUGGUAGAGGCAAGUGGAAUUCCAGGUGUAGCGGUGAAAUGCGUAGAUAUCUGGAGGAACAUCAGUGGCGAAGGCGACUUGCUGGACCAAUACUGACGCUGAGGUGCGAAAGCGUGGGGAGCGAACAGGAUUAGAUA